Molecule: ribosomal RNA, 300 nt
Filed under: uncultured Planctomycetota bacterium
Lineage: Bacteria; Pseudomonadati; Planctomycetota
Description: bacterial SSU rRNA
Rfam family: Bacterial small subunit ribosomal RNA
Source: RNAcentral
CACGUAAUCAAGCUACCCGCGAGACGGGGAUAACCUCGGGAAACCGAGGCUAAUACCCGAUGGCCUAUCGGAACCGCAUGGUUCUGAUAGUAAAUGGACGGGAUCCUUCGGGACCGUCUGCUUGCGGAGGUGAUUGCGGCCCAUCAGUUUGUUGGUAGGGUAACGGCCUACCAAGACUACGACGGGUAGCCGGCCUUAGAGGGUGGUCGGUCGCACUGGGACUGAGACACUGCCCAGACUCCUACGGGAGGCUGCAGUCGAGAAUCUUCCGCAAUGGACGCAAGUCUGACGGAGCGACGC